GCUCCCUUCUCCCGUUCUCCUGCGGGAGGUCUUCACGUCUGACCGAAACUAUGAUAUCUAGAUCUAUAUGGUGACUAUGACUAUGAGUAAACUAAGUGACAGUCUACUAGAGUCUAGAUCUGAAUCUAGAUCAAGUAUUACAGUUAGACUACGGUAUUAGUGACAGUAAGAAAGCCAAAGUGCUGCCUGUAAUCCUGUAUUGUUGCAUGAUGUAGAAUCUUAGUGCAUCUAGAAAUCCAGUCCAUUCCUGUAUGAUUUAUGUAUAUGAUGAUCAAGUCAUGUAUAUUUAUCACAUAUGAUGUCAAGAUGAUGAGAUUUAUCACUACAUCUAGAUCUUAUUUAGCCUAUUUAAUACAAAAUAGUUAUUUUGAAAGAAUACUUAAGACAUCGUAAAAUAUGAAUAGAGCAAAUAUUUUUUUUGUUUUAAUGUUGUCAUUAUUUUUCAGUCAUUUUGCAGGAAACACUUUCCAUCCAUCCAUCCCAAUGGCACUACAGCCCAUGGAGGGCUUUAGCUGGGUUCAACACAUCCCUCCAUUCAGAUCUCUCCUUAGCCUUUUAUCUCCGUCACUAUCUGUGGGUCUUCAUACAAUUGAUAUAUCUCAUGUAUCUGCACUAUUCAACACAUUCAGAGAGGAAGCAGCAGCUUAAACUUCAAAAUUUUUGAGUCUUUCAAUUUUGCUGUUGUCACGUUCUCCACUGUUGGCUAUGGAGAUGUUUCCUCUGACAUUUGGCUGGGCUGACUCUUAAAGAUUCUAACCAUUGCCCUGGCAUUUGUUUUUAUACCUAGCCAGAAUAGAGAUGUAAUUCUGCUGUGUCCCCGUGAGUUGGAAACCAGUAAGCAAGUCUUCUAAUAGAGAUCUGAUAGAGUCAUGUACAUCAAGCAAUCAGCACUAAAAGAUGUGGACCUGAUGUGGUGUCAAGCUGAUGAAGCUUUUGCUUGCUUCUUUUGGCUGUUCGUUGAACACAAGACAAAGC
This is a long non-coding RNA of Biomphalaria glabrata, 975 nucleotides long. RefSeq lists it as uncharacterized. The record is from RefSeq and is a predicted model, not a curated record. The transcript has 3 exons. NCBI's taxonomy places the organism in Eukaryota, Metazoa, Mollusca, Gastropoda, Planorbidae.